This is a long non-coding RNA of Mercenaria mercenaria, 745 nucleotides long. RefSeq lists it as uncharacterized. Lineage: Eukaryota; Metazoa; Mollusca; Bivalvia; Venerida; Veneridae. The transcript is spliced from 2 exons. The record is from RefSeq and is a predicted model, not a curated record.
AUUUCCUGUAGCAGCUUAGGACAGUACAGCUUGUGAGUUAACAGAUCAGGGUGAGCCUCAGUGUUUCCUGGUGUACUGUACUCAUCCGCCAACUUAGGACAGCUGUUUAGUGAUCGCAGAGGUGCAACACCCGUUUCAGAGCCAUUUACAUCAUUUAGUGAGGAUUCCUGUGUCUGACAGUACUGAACCUGAGGAAUUUCACACAUUUUUGAGCAGAGACCAGGUGUGCAGUAUCAACACCUUUUAGUUACAUUUUGACAUGAAUUGUUGGAGAGAACUUGAAUACCAUGGCCAUGAGAUAUGACUUUAGAUAUAGAAUGCAAAAAUAUGCAGUAUUGUUGCAUUUGUGAUGAAAAGAAAGACAAUUUUCCCAUUUUUUACUGAAAAAUAAGCUUUUUUUUAACCAAAAAAAAUUCACUAAACACUAAUUUUGUUCUAUAUUUUAUCACAGUUGCAUAAUUAUAAGUUUUUUUCAGUGUAGUUGUCUAUUCCGCACUUGCUGGUGGUAUAUUUGAUGUAAUAUCUUACGGGUUUUUUGAAAAAACAGCGUUUAAUGACUAUAUGUGAUUCAGCCACAUUUAACGGCUUAAACCGCAGUCUUUGGACAAAAUGAUGGCUGUACAAAAAUAGUGAUUUUGAGAAAACUACUGGUUUGUUUGGGCUGAAACUUGUUUUAUAAGCUGAAUAUAGAUGAAACUUCACAUAGAGAGCAAAAAAGCUGAAAAAAAAAUUUCAUAUUUCCUUA